This is a long non-coding RNA of Neofelis nebulosa (Clouded leopard), 659 nucleotides long. RefSeq lists it as uncharacterized. The record is from RefSeq and is a predicted model, not a curated record. NCBI's taxonomy places the organism in Eukaryota, Metazoa, Chordata, Mammalia, Carnivora, Felidae. The transcript has 3 exons.
GAGAGCUUUACCGAAGGGUGGGCCCCACGCAGGCGGUGUCGGUGCUCUCGAUCUCCUGCAAGAUCCGCUCGUGCUCCGGGACGGUGCCCAGACCCUCGCCAUUCUCCGCCAUCUUGGCUGGAAGCUGAGGAGCCGGUUCCAGGGAUGAGGAUGUGAACCUUUUGGGGGAGCCAUUAUUUUGCCUGCCACAUACAGAAUCAACAUGUGACUGAUCUGAGUACACACUGGCUUAGAAGAUCAAGGAAGCUCUGCUACAUCCAACUGCCCAUUCUGCCAAGAAACCCCAUCAGAAGCCUAUUUCUACUGUCUCAAUGGUACAGAAGAAUCCAUAUCUUCUCUGGGAAAUCACACUUUCUCAAGAUGUAAAAAUAUGCCAAAAGAAAAAAAAAAGUCUUCCUGAGGCCACCAGCACUGUCACACUAUGUUAAAGACCUGACGUUCAGAGAUGACUUUUUUUUUUUUAAUUUUGCAAUUUUGUAUAGUUCCCCCUUGGAGUUCUGCAUGUGGCUGAGAGAAAGGGGUUUUGAAACCAGACAAUGCUGAAGAUCAGAAGCCACUGGAAAGAAUUCAGGAUGAGUUAGAAAGGAGCAUUCCAAACAGUUCUGAGCAUGAGGCAAGAAUUUGAUUAAUCUGUGAUUGGUAACAAUUUGGAAUUAUAU